Lycium barbarum (goji berry) is the source of this 905-nucleotide long non-coding RNA. RefSeq lists it as uncharacterized. The record is from RefSeq and is a predicted model, not a curated record. NCBI's taxonomy places the organism in Eukaryota, Viridiplantae, Streptophyta, Magnoliopsida, Solanales, Solanaceae. The transcript is spliced from 2 exons.
UAGACCUGAGGGUCUCAUUUGUUUGUUGGUAGACGAGGGUUCGAGAAACCCUAGCCGCCUCUCUUCCAUUUUCUCUCUCAUCGUCACCUUAGAUGGCCAAGAAUAGCAAAUCUGCAUAUGUUUUUGCUUUAAGCAGGCCUUGUAUGGCCGAUUUUGGCAACGCAUUAAUUGGAGCUUUCUCUCUCCACUGUAGAACAACCCAAACACGUAUAACCCUUCUUUACAUGGUAUAACCUUUCUUUCUUCUUACUUUUCUGCAUUUUUUGGGUCAAUGAAGGACGAAACCUUAAUGGUUUUUGUCCGUUUACCGUCGAUUUCUAUUGGCUUGGGUCGAAACACAUGGAUUCGCGUUGAAUCCCUCUGGAAAUCAAUUGUCCCACAUUGAUAGUUUUCCAAGUUUUAGGAGUUCUGGGUUUUAUAUAAAGAACCCAUCCUUCACACAUACACACAGAUCUCAUAAAUUCAGAGCAAAAGAUACAUUUGGUAUACCUAAGGAUCUAGCAAGUUUGCUAGAACCUGUAAUUUACUAAGUUUUUCUUUGUUUUAAAAAUUUGCUUUCUUGUUUGUGGCUGAGUUUUGAGGAGGAGCAAGGAUCUCAACUCCAAAUCUCGACAAAUGUUGCGCACAACAAAAAUUGUGAUCCAGAGACUGCUACUCGACCUCAUAUCUAGCGUUGAGGCCGUUUGCUAAUAGAUUUAGGGUGAGCCAGGCCGUACGAAGAUCUUUUUUUAUUAAUGUCUAUUUCCGUUCCAGACAUUGAUGGUUAUUUAUUUUAGACAGCUUACAUUCUUUAGACAUGUUUUGGAUUAAAGUCCUUGUACGACAACUUUUGGAUUUUGGGGUUGUAAUAGUUAGGAUUUUCGCAUUUACUUCCUUAUUUUAUGGCAUGACUAAAUUUUGAUUUA